Molecule: transfer RNA, 95 nt
Filed under: Nesterenkonia sedimenti
Lineage: Bacteria; Bacillati; Actinomycetota; Actinomycetes; Micrococcales; Micrococcaceae
Description: Nesterenkonia sp. MY13 tRNA-Sec
Rfam family: Selenocysteine transfer RNA
Source: RNAcentral
GGAGGUGUAUGAGUCCUGGUGGGCUCCGCGGUCUUCAAAACCGUUGAGACCGAGUACCUCGGUCUGGCGGGUUCGAUUCCCGUCCACCUCCGCCA